Molecule: ribosomal RNA, 207 nt
Filed under: uncultured bacterium
Lineage: Bacteria
Description: partial 16S ribosomal RNA
Rfam family: Bacterial small subunit ribosomal RNA
Source: RNAcentral
UGCGUAGGCGGGUCUUUAAGUCAGGGGUGAAAUCCUGGAGCUCAACUCCAGAACUGCCUUUGAUACUGAAGAUCUUGAGUUCGGGAGAGGUGAGUGGAACUGCGAGUGUAGAGGUGAAAUUCGUAGAUAUUCGCAAGAACACCAGUGGCGAAGGCGGCUCACUAGCCCGAUACUGACGCUGAGGCACGAAAGCGUGGGGAGCAAACA